CCCCCCCCCCCCCACUAAACAAACAUAGAUGUGUCCGGUCUGUGUGAGGAGGAAGUUGUCUCUCAGGAAAAAAAAGAAAAUGUCUUCUUUUAUCAAGUGCAUGAAAAGAGAAGGAGCACUUAGUGAGUUCACACAUCACCAGGGAUAAUUUAUGUUUUAUGACAAAGGAAGAAGUCUUUUCUCUGCCGCUGGACAAAAGCAUCAAAAUUAAUAUCGCUUGAGGCCGAAUGCUGAUGGGGAAGUCCUUUCUUAGAAAGACAAGUGCACAGUGGGCACAAAGACACCUUGCAGUCCGGAUAAUGACCAUUGCAGGCCUCCAGCAGCAGCAGCAGCAGCAGCAGAGGACAAACCUCCACUCCCUAUCCUUCGAAUUGCCUUUUUAAACAGCUACAUCUGGAUAUUAUCUGGACGGUAACAGCUGUAAUAAACAUUGACAAACUCAUCAGAAACUCCCCAAUUAACUGUGAUCGUCCACGAGAGCGCCUUUUGGUCACUGAAAAUAUUUGUUUUGUUCCCGUCCUCUCG
Molecule: long non-coding RNA, 525 nt
Organism: Gasterosteus aculeatus aculeatus (three-spined stickleback)
Lineage: Eukaryota; Metazoa; Chordata; Actinopteri; Perciformes; Gasterosteidae
Source: Ensembl